RNAcentral lists this ribosomal RNA (1016 nucleotides) under uncultured bacterium. RNAcentral describes it as "bacterial SSU rRNA". It matches the Rfam family "Bacterial small subunit ribosomal RNA", at positions 357 to 1376 of the family's 1533-position model. The record is from RNAcentral.
AGGAAUAUUGGUCAAUGGACGAGAGUCUGAACCAGCCAAGUAGCGUGAAGGAUGAAGGUCCUACGGAUUGUAAACUUCUUUUAUAAGGGAAUAAACCCUCCCACGUGUGGGAGCUUGUAUGUACCUUAUGAAUAAGCAUCGGCUAACUCCGUGCCAGCAGCCGCGGUAAUACGGAGGAUGCGAGCGUUAUCCGGAUUUAUUGGGUUUAAAGGGAGCGCAGACGGGUCGUUAAGUCAGCUGUGAAAGUUUGGGGCUCAACCUUAAAAUUGCAGUUGAUACUGGCGUCCUUGAGUGCGGUUGAGGUGUGCGGAAUUCGUGGUGUAGCGGUGAAAUGCUUAGAUAUCACGAAGAACUCCGAUUGCGAAGGCAGCACACUAAGCCGUAACUGACGUUCAUGCUCGAAAGUGUGGGUAUCAAACAGGAUUAGAUACCCUGGUAGUCCACACGGUAAACGAUGGAUACUCGCUGUUGGCGAUAUACUGUCAGCGGCCAAGCGAAAGCAUUAAGUAUCCCACCUGGGGAGUACGCCGGCAACGGUGAAACUCAAAGGAAUUGACGGGGGCCCGCACAAGCGGAGGAACAUGUGGUUUAAUUCGAUGAUACGCGAGGAACCUUACCCGGGCUUAAAUUGCAGACGAAUUACGAGGAAACUUGUAAGCCGCAAGGCGUCUGUGAAGGUGCUGCAUGGUUGUCGUCAGCUCGUGCCGUGAGGUGUCGGCUUAAGUGCCAUAACGAGCGCAACCCUCGUGGCCAGUUACUAACAGGUUAAGCUGAGGACUCUGGCCAGACUGCCAUCGUAAGAUGUGAGGAAGGUGGGGAUGACGUCAAAUCAGCACGGCCCUUACGUCCGGGGCUACACACGUGUUACAAUGGGAGGUACAGAAGGCAGCUACCCGGCGACGGGAUGCCAAUCCCCAAAACCUCUCUCAGUUCGGACUGGAGUCUGCAACCCGACUCCACGAAGCUGGAUUCGCUAGUAAUCGCGCAUCAGCCACGGCGCGGUGAAUACGUUCCCG